This 199-nucleotide long non-coding RNA is filed under the name Vigna radiata. Its description in RNAcentral is "long non-coding RNA (VRAD_LNC016042)". The record is from RNAcentral. Lineage: Eukaryota; Viridiplantae; Streptophyta; Magnoliopsida; Fabales; Fabaceae.
UAACACAUGAUUUUUCCCCAAAAACUGGUAUGGCUGAUGGAUAUGAUAGGACAAGGACAUUGUGAGAGUAGCAAGAAAGAGACAAAUUCCAAGUGUCAUCAAAUCAAUGGAAAUACCACCUUUUAUUUUUCACUAUCCUCAGAUUUUUCUUUCCAUAACCAAAUGGUCCAAAUGGUCAACACCCACAAAUCUAAUUUUC